RNAcentral lists this ribosomal RNA (393 nucleotides) under uncultured bacterium. RNAcentral's name for it is "partial 16S ribosomal RNA". It matches the Rfam family "Bacterial small subunit ribosomal RNA", at positions 523 to 918 of the family's 1533-position model. The record is from RNAcentral.
AUACGGAGGAUGCGAGCGUUAUCCGGAUUUAUUGGGUUUAAAAGGUGCGUAGGCGGUUUGCUAAGCGGGAGGUGAAAUGCCGGCGCUCAACGUCGGAAGUGCCUCCCGAACUGGUGGACUGGAAUGACUCUGCCGUGGGAGGAAUGUGUAGUGUAGCGGUGAAAUGCUUAGAGAUUACACAGAACACCGAUUGCGAAGGCAUCUCACGAAGGGUUGAUUGACGCCGAGGCACGAAAGCGUGGGGAUCAAACAGGAUUAGAUACCCUGGUAGUCCACGCAGUAAACGAUGAUGGCUAACCGCUGGUUUAUUCGGAUCAGUGGCCAAGCGAAAGCGAUAAGCCAUCCACCUGGGGAGUACGACCGCAAGGUUGAAACUCAAAUGAAUUGACGGGG